GCCGCAUCCAGAACGCGGGCGAGGGCUUCGGCCUCCGGGGCUGGGGCAGCCGCGAUGUUCGAUUCUUCGGAGCGGCGC
RNAcentral lists this transfer RNA (78 nucleotides) under Methylorubrum suomiense. Its description in RNAcentral is "tRNA-Arg". Lineage: Bacteria; Pseudomonadati; Pseudomonadota; Alphaproteobacteria; Hyphomicrobiales; Methylobacteriaceae. The record is from RNAcentral.